This 223-nucleotide ribosomal RNA is filed under the name uncultured bacterium. RNAcentral's name for it is "partial 16S ribosomal RNA". It matches the Rfam family "Bacterial small subunit ribosomal RNA", at positions 111 to 334 of the family's 1533-position model. The record is from RNAcentral.
UAACGCGUGGGUAACCUGCCUCAUACAGGGGGAUAGCAGCUGGAAACGGCUGAUAAAACCGCAUAAGCGCACAGUAUCGCAUGAUGCAGUGUGAAAAACUCCGGUGGUAUGAGAUGGACCCGCGUCUGAUUAGCUGGUUGGUGAGGUAACGGCCCACCAAGGCGACGAUCAGUAGCCGGCCUGAGAGGGUGACCGGCCACAUUGGGACUGAGACACGGCCCAA